AUGGGGCGCACCAGGCGCGAAACUUUUGCAAUGCGCGAAAGCGUGACAAAGCCAUCCCGAGUGCCAUCCGCUGAGGGUGGCUUUUCCACAGUCUAAAAAGCUGUGGGAAUAAGGGGAGGGUAAGUCGGGUGUCAGCCGCCGCGGUAAUACCCGCUCCCCGAGUGGUGGGGGCUUUUACUGAGCUUAAAGCGCCCGUAGCCGGUCAUAUGUGUCUCCAGUUAAAUCCAGCAGCCUAACUGCUGGGCCGCUGGAGAUACUACAUGACUUGGAGGCGGGAGAGGCUGCCGGUAGUCCUGGGGUAGGAGUGAAAUCCUCUGAUCCCAGGAGGACCUGCAGUGGCGAAGGCGCUCGACUGGGACGCGCUCGACGGUGAGGGACGAAAGCUAGGGGAGCGAACCGGAUUAGAUACCCGGGUAGUCCUAGCCGUAAACGAUGUGGACUAAGUGUUAGGGCGGCCACGAGCUGCCCUAGUGCUGAAGGGAAGCCGUUAAGUCCACCGCCUGGGGAGUACGGCCGCAAGGCUGAAACUUAAAGGAAUUGGCGGGGGAGCACGGAACUUGUGAGCUAAAAGGCUAGGCUAAAAAGGGCUAGAACUGUAAAAAGGCUGCCGCUUGCUGACUAAUCAUAGGACUCCGUGUCCUCUCCUUGGA
RNAcentral lists this ribosomal RNA (650 nucleotides) under uncultured crenarchaeote. RNAcentral describes it as "bacterial SSU rRNA". It matches the Rfam family "Archaeal small subunit ribosomal RNA", at positions 325 to 1215 of the family's 1478-position model. The record is from RNAcentral. Lineage: Archaea; Thermoproteati; Thermoproteota.